CCUACGGGUGGCAGCAGUGGGGAAUAUUGCACAAUGGGGGAAACCCUGAUGCAGCGACGCCGCGUGAGUGAAGAAGUAAUUCGUUAUGUAAAGCUCUAUCAGCAGGGAAGAAAAUGACGGUACCUGUGUAAGAAGCCCCGGCUAACUACGUGCCAGCAGCCGCGGUAAUACGUAGGGGGCAAGCGUUAUCCGGAUUUACUGGGUGUAAAGGGAGCGUAGGCGGCAGUGCAAGUCUGGAGGGAAAGGCGGGGGCUCAACCCCCGGACUGCUCUGGAAACUGUACGGCUGGAGGGCAGGAGAGGUAAGUGGAAUUCCUAGUGUAGCGGUGAAAUGCGUAGAUAUUAGGAGGAACACCAGUGGCGAAGGCGGCUUACUGGACUGUAACUGACGUUGAGGCUCGAAAGCGUGGGGAGCAAACAGGAUUAGAUACCCGUGUAGUC
RNAcentral lists this ribosomal RNA (440 nucleotides) under uncultured bacterium. RNAcentral's name for it is "partial 16S ribosomal RNA". It matches the Rfam family "Bacterial small subunit ribosomal RNA", at positions 338 to 795 of the family's 1533-position model. The record is from RNAcentral.